This 286-nucleotide ribosomal RNA is filed under the name Blastocystis hominis. RNAcentral describes it as "partial 18S ribosomal RNA". It matches the Rfam family "Eukaryotic small subunit ribosomal RNA", at positions 42 to 348 of the family's 1831-position model. The record is from RNAcentral. RNAcentral also lists the same sequence under 2 other names. Lineage: Eukaryota; Bigyra; Opalinata; Blastocystidae.
GAUUAAGCCAUGCAUGUGUAAGUAUAAAUAGUUAACUUUGAAACUGCGAAUGGCUCAUUAUAUCAGUUAUAGUUUAUUUGAUGAAGAAUACUAAUUGGAUAACCGUAGUAAUUCUAGAGCUAAUACAUGUAUAAAGUCUUGUAGACUGCAUUUAUUAGAAUGAAAACCAUAGGUUUCGGCCUAUUCGUGAGUAAUAAUAACUAAUCAUAUCGUAUGCUUAUGUAACGAUGUGUCUUUCAAGUUUCUGCCCUAUCAGCUUUCGAUGGUAGUGUAUUGGACUACCAUG